Molecule: long non-coding RNA, 770 nt
Filed under: Capsicum annuum
Lineage: Eukaryota; Viridiplantae; Streptophyta; Magnoliopsida; Solanales; Solanaceae
Description: long non-coding RNA (CANN_LNC004271)
Source: RNAcentral
UUAUUUCUUAAAUUCUGUCCUCGAUCAAAUGAUGAUAGGAGGGAGGUAGUAUUAGUUUUUGGGAGAACAACUAUUUUAUUAGAGUCUAUAGGUUAUGUUCAAUAACUAAAGUCACCCUCAUUGAUUCUUCCUCCAACCAGCUUCGACCAAACCACAUCUCAUUUCUGCUUUACGUUCACUUCGGCACAUAAACUCGCCGAUCCUGAUCAAAACAACCAUUUAACUUACCGGAGAACCACGACAACCUCCGACAGAAUGUGAAAUAAAACACCCAACACCACCACCUCUCCUCCUCAUCUUUCCGGCGAAACACCAUUUCUGGUGAAGCCGAACUCCGUCCAAGCAACCAGACAACCAACGAACUCCAUAUCCACCAUCAACACUCCACCAAAAAUCUCACUCCACCUACCUCCGUUCACCGUCACUGCUCCGGUAGAAGACGAAACCAACCAACCACAACUCGGAUCUGAACAGAAAUGGUCAUUAACAACAAUAACGACGGCCAAAACAGCUCCACUAAAAAUAUAAAACCAAUUGCUUUAUUAUGUUGAUACAGUUAUCAUAAUUUCUCCGUCUUUGUCUGGUUGUCAAAUUGUAAUUUUUGAAAUUUGUUAUUGUAUAUCUCAGUUGCUUUUUAGUGCUCUAUAUUAACUUGUAUUAAAAUUGUUUUAAAUAUUGCAAUACAAUUUUAAUUCUAUUACAAAAUAUAAAAGAAGAAUAAAAAUAAAUAGAGAAAAAAGAGGAGGCUACAUAUUUCUCUUGAAGGUGGG